RNAcentral lists this ribosomal RNA (502 nucleotides) under uncultured bacterium. Its description in RNAcentral is "partial 16S ribosomal RNA". It matches the Rfam family "Bacterial small subunit ribosomal RNA", at positions 29 to 507 of the family's 1533-position model. The record is from RNAcentral.
AGCGAACGCUGGCGGCGUGCCUAACACAUGCAAGUCGAACGUUAAAGGGAGCAAUCCCAAGUAAAGUGGCGUACGGGUGAGUAACACGUAGGUAAUCUACCCCAGAAUCUGGAAUAACCGGCCGAAAGGCUGGCUAAUACUGGAUAGAGCGACGGAAUCCGUAAUUGGGUUUUUCGGGAAAGGGAGCCUGUAAAAAGGCCUUCUUUCUGGGAUGAGCCUGCGUCCCAUCAGCUAGUUGGUGAGGUAAAAGCUUACCAAGGCAAUGACGGGUAGCUGGUCUGAGAGGACGAUCAGCCACACUGGAACUGAAACACGGUCCAGACUCCUACGGGAGGCAGCAGUGGGGAAUCUUGCGCAAUGGACGAAAGUCUGACGCAGCAACGCCGCGUGAGUGAAGAAGGCCUUCGGGUUGUAAAGCUCUGUCGAGUGGGACGAAAAUGCUUGGAGUUCACAGCUCCAGGAACUGACGGUACCACUAAAGGAAGCACCGGCUAACUCCGUG